Molecule: ribosomal RNA, 463 nt
Filed under: uncultured bacterium
Lineage: Bacteria
Description: partial 16S ribosomal RNA
Rfam family: Bacterial small subunit ribosomal RNA
Source: RNAcentral
GACGAACGCUGGCGGCGUGCUUAACACAUGCAAGUCGAACGGUGAACCUCUUCGGAGGGGCUCAGUGGCGAACGGGUGGGUAACACGUGGGCAACCUGCCCCCGGCUCUGGGAUAACUCCAAGAAAUUGGGGCUAAUACCGGAUGUUCACCGCUUCCCGCAUGGGUGGUGGUGCAAAGGUUUUCCGGCUGGGGAUGGGCCCGCGGGCUAUCAGCUUGUUGGUGGGGUAGUGGCAUACGAGGGCGAGGACGGGUAGCCGACCUGAGAUGGUCGCCGGCAACCAUGGGCCUGAGAGAGGGCGCAGAAGCGAACGGGAGGCAGAGGGGGAGAAUCUGGCGCAACGAGGCGGAGUCAGACGUGAAGGUGCUGGGAGCGGGAUGAUGUGCUACGGGGGGUGAACAAAUGUGUGCGGAGACGAAGCGGAAUUGACGGUACCUGCAGAAGAAGCACCGGCCAACUACGUG